GAACGCUGGCGGCGUGCUUAACACAUGCCAGUCGAACGGCAAGGCCCUGCUUUUGUGGGGUGCUCGAGUGGCGAACGGGUGAGUAACACGUGAGUAACCUGCCCUUGACUUUGGGAUAACUUCAGGAAACUGGGGCUAAUACCGGAUAGGAGCUCCUGCUGCAUGGUGGGGGUUGGAAAGUUUCGGCGGUUGGGGAUGGACUCGCGGCUUAUCAGCUUGUUGGUGGGGUAGUGGCUUACCAAGGCUUUGACGGGUAGCCGGCCUGAGAGGGUGACCGGCCACAUUGGGACUGAGAUACGGCCCAGACUCCUACGGGAGGCAGCAGUGGGGAAUAUUGCACAAUGGGCGGAAGCCUGAUGCAGCAACGCCGCGUGCGGGAUGACGGCCUUCGGGUUGUAAACCGCUUUCGCCUGUGACGAAGCGUGAGUGACGGUAAUGGGUAAAGAAGCACCGGCUAACUACGUG
RNAcentral lists this ribosomal RNA (465 nucleotides) under uncultured bacterium. RNAcentral describes it as "partial 16S ribosomal RNA". It matches the Rfam family "Bacterial small subunit ribosomal RNA", at positions 31 to 507 of the family's 1533-position model. The record is from RNAcentral.